Armillaria mellea is the source of this 112-nucleotide non-coding RNA. The record is from the annotation of a GenBank genome assembly. Lineage: Eukaryota; Fungi; Basidiomycota; Agaricomycetes; Agaricales; Physalacriaceae.
UCGGAUAUGGUGUAACGGCUAACAUUGCCGCCUCUCAUCAUUAUAAUGAACAAUGAACUCCUGAUUAUGCGUGGGUGCGCGGCAGCUCGGGGUUCAAUUCCCCGUAUUCGAA